Sceloporus undulatus (fence lizard) is the source of this 4457-nucleotide RNA transcript. It is a transcript of the gene named ArfGAP with coiled-coil, ankyrin repeat and PH domains 2, with no coding region annotated. The transcript has 25 exons. The record is from RefSeq and is a predicted model, not a curated record. NCBI's taxonomy places the organism in Eukaryota, Metazoa, Chordata, Lepidosauria, Squamata, Phrynosomatidae.
GCCGGGAAAAGGGGCCCAUCCGCCCGGAAGCGAAGGCUGGCCACGCCCCCGAGCCCCGGAAAAGAGGCCGGAGCGAAGGAAGAGCGAGCGAAGGCAGGCAGGAUGCGGGUGUCCCUGGACUUCGAGGAGUGCCUCAAGGACUCGCCCCGCUUCAGAGCUGCACUUGAGGAUGUGGAAGGAGAUGUGGCGGAACUAGAACUGAAACUUGACAAGUUAGUGAAGCUUUGCAUUGCCAUGAUUGAUACGGGGAAAGCCUUCUGUGCAGCCAACAAGCAGUUCACCAAUGGCAUUCGGGACCUUGCUCAGUACUCCAGUAAUGAUGCCCUGGUGGAGGCCAGCUUGACCAAGUUCUCUGACACCCUCCAAGAGAUGAUCAAUUACCACACGAUCCUGUUUGACCAAACCCAGAGAUCCAUUAAAGCCCAACUACAGAUGUUUGUUAAAGAAGAUAUUAGAAAAUUUAAAGAGGCAAAGAAGCAAUUUGAGAAGGUCAGUGAAGAGAAGGAGACUGCUCUCGCCAAGAACGCCCAGGUUCCAAGAAACAAGCAGCAUGAGGUCGAGGAAGCCGCCAACAUCCUCACGGCCACCCGCAAGUGCUUCCGCCACGUUGCUCUGGACUAUGUCCUUCAGAUUAACGUUCUUCAAUCAAAAAGGAGAUCAGAGAUCCUGAAGUCGAUGCUCUCCUUCAUGUAUGCCCAUCUGGCCUUCUUCCAUCAAGGAUAUGACCUCUUCAGUGAACUUGGACCGUACAUGAAGGACCUGGGAGGUCAGCUGGAACGCCUGGCUGCUGAUGCUGCAAAGGAGAAGAAGGAGAUGGAGCAGAAGCACUCCACAAUUCAGCAGAAGCAUUUCUCCAGUGAUGACACCAAGCUGGAGUAUGACCUGGAUGGGGCAGACGGCAUCGUUAUGGAGGGCUACCUCUUCAAGCGAGCCAGCAAUGCCUUCAAGACCUGGAACAGGAAAAAGCCCGAUGGCAUCAGGCGCUGGUUCUCCAUACAGAAUAACCAACUGGUCUACCAGAAAAAAUUUAAGGAUAAUCCCACGGUGGUGGUGGAGGACUUGCGGCUCUGCACGGUCAAGCCCUGUGAGGACAUCGAGCGACGUUUCUGCUUUGAAGUGGUCUCCCCCACAAAAAGCUGCAUCCUUCAGGCAGACUCAGAAAAGCUACGGCUAGCAUGGAUCAAGGCAGUACAGACCAGUAUCGCCACAGCUUACCGGGAGAAAGGGGAUGAGGCAGAGGGUGAGAGGAAGCCGCUCCCUUCAUUGGGGAGCCCUGAAUCCAGCAGCGAAUCCAAAGAGAAGCUGCUGAAAGGCGAGAGCUCCCUCCAGAAAGUACAGAGCAUUGUGGGCAAUUCUGUCUGCUGCGACUGUGGCCUGGCAGACCCCCGGUGGGCUAGCAUCAACCUUGGCAUCACGCUGUGCAUCGAGUGCUCCGGCAUCCACAGGAGCCUGGGUGUCCAUUUUUCUAAAGUCAGGUCCCUGACACUGGAUUCAUGGGAACCGGAGCUGCUCAAGCUGAUGUGCGAACUGGGGAAUGACGUCAUAAACAGGGUCUACGAAGCAAACGUAGAGGACAUGGGAGCCAAGAAGCCCCUGCCAGGAAGUGAAAGACAGGAGAAGGAGGAGUACAUUCGGGCCAAGUAUGUGGGAAGGAAAUUUGUGGCCAGGCACCCAUCUGCCUCUCCCAGUCCAGGAGGGAAGCUUCUCCUGACCAGCCAAGAGGGCAAAAGGCAGAGCAGCCCAGAGGGGACCCCAGCGGCAGCAGCGGCAGCAGCGGCAGUAACCCUGCAAGUGGUUGGCUUAAGUAGCGACAAGGCCAGGCGGGAAUCUCUCUUCUGUCCCGAUGAGCUAGACUCGCUCUUCUCCUACUUUGAUACCUCCUCCAAGCUGCGCAUUAUGCGGAGCAAUGACAGUGGAGUCCAGCACAGCGCAGAGGACAGCAGAGAGCACCUGGCCUCCACCCCGUCAGCAAACCCCUUGUAUGAGCCAGAGCGAGGAGAGUGGCCUGAAGCCACCGCUGCUGCCCCUGCCGCCGGUGGCUCUUCCUCCCCAGGCUCCUCGGAGCAUUUCCUGGCAGGCCUGCAGCUGUACCGGGCCUCCUACGAGAAGAGCCUCCCGCGCAUGGCAGAAGCCCUGGCCCAUGGGGCAGAUGUCAACUGGGCCAACGCUGAGGAAGACAAGUCCACACCUCUGAUCCAGGCAGUCCUUGGGGGCUCCUUGGUCACAUGUGAAUUCCUGCUCCAGAACGGGGCCAACGUCAACCUCAGGGACGCCCAUGGCAGGGGACCCCUGCACCAUGCCACAGUCCUGGGGCACACCGGGCAGGUCUGUUUGUUCUUGAAACGGGGUGCCAACCAACACGCCACAGAUGAAGAUGGGAAGGACCCUCUGAGUGUUGCCAUAGAAGCGGCCAAUGCAGACAUCGUGACCCUGUUACGCCUGGCAAGGAUGAACGAAGAGAUGCGGGAGUCAGAAGGGCUCUACGGCCAGCCAGGUCAACCCCCUAAUAACCACACAGAGAUGCAGUACCGGACUUGCAUCCAGGAGUUCAUUAGCUUGCAGCUAGACCAAGCAUAGUUCCUUCAGACAAAGCGGAAGGCUUGGCCUCGUGUGGCGGGACUGACGCUCAAUCAGGCGCUGGUGGUGGCAGUGGCAGCUGUGGGUGCUGGGGGAGGGCCUCCUGAUGGACAGAAUGCCCAGGACAGGGGAGGCCCCAGCCAGUUGGCUCCUGAACCAGAGCCAGGAAGGGGGGGGGCAGGCAUCUCUUGCCCCCUCCCCAUUGGUCGGCUAUGGAGCAGGGGGACUCAUCCAGCUGACCCAUCUGCUCCCAGUUGACAGUCCCCAUGCCUGUUUGACACAGCUGUGCCAUGGGAGUCCCGGCGGGUGGAGGGCCCAACAGAUGGGCCCUGAAGAUCCCAGCCUAGUUAUGGCUGCCCUGAAUUGGGUGGGUUUGCAGAGGAAGCCAGUGGCUUGUGAUACUGUAGCAGGACCCCUUUUCUUUGGCUCCCGUUUGACCAAAGUGAGGGAGGGCAUUUGGAAACUUUCUGCCCCCAGGGCCUUAGGGGCACUCUGCUGUGCUGGCUUAUAAUUUCAGUGUUUGUUCCCUGAGAAGUUGAAUGGUUCAACCUGAAUCACGUUUGCACGUGAAAGUCCCUGAGACACACACACACACUUUACUUGCUUGAGAAAAGGGGUCAGGGAGAACCCAUGCUUUUCCUAGUUCCUGCCUGGAAAUGUUCUCCCCAACCACCAAAACGCUCAGAUUUAGAAUGCCUUCUGGGGCAUCAGGUUCUUUGCUUUUCCAGGCCUUGUGAAGCGACACUUAGACUGUUGUUUGACCAGGCAGGUUCCCACAAACAGGGCUAAGGGGUUGAAGAAGCUGGAGUGAGCUCUGCUCCUUCAAAUUCUGGAGUGAGGCUUCUCCUCUUGCCCCCCCUCCCUCCAAGGCUAAGGGAACUGAGGCAGGUGGGUUUGGGGUGGGGUGUGUGUGUGUGUGUGCACCCUCCAAUCUCACUGGCUGUCCUAGUGGCACAUAAACCAGAUUGUACCCCGAGGGGGCAGAUAGCUCUGGAAUUUAACCCACCAGUACAGUAUAUUCCCCUCAGCCCUGUCCCUCAGGUCUGCUCCAUAGCAAAAGGGGUGUUUUUUUUGGGGGGGGGAUUACCUACUCUCUGAAGCCAAAGUUCAGGUAGCUGUGGGGCCCUGGGUCCAUAGCCCUGAGAGUGGGGAGUGGUUGAAGGGCCAUAGCUAGAAAUGGUGGAGAGCACAAUGGCAGUGCCCUUCUCCGCCAGAGCCAUGCAGGUCGCUGGCUGGCUAGUGGCUUCCUUGUUGGGCUGAGUUUAGCCUGGUCCCAAGCACCAUCCCUGUCCAUGGCAUUUCUGAGCAGUUGGGAGCUGCCUCAGCCUAUGCCAAAGGGAUAGGACAGUUAGGAAGCUUGUGGCAGCUUCCUGGCCCCACUUUUUAGAGGAGGGACGGGGCUGGAUGCCUCCCUUGGUCAUCCUCAGGGAAACUGAGCUGGGGUCUGGGGUGAGGGUUCUGGCAGGCAGGCAAGCAUUGUAGUCUGAUGGGGUCUUCCAAAAUGGGGGGGGGUGCUACUAGUGCCCAAAGGACCACAAGGACCCACUGAACCCCCUCCCUCCCUCCCUCCCCAAGCCUCAGGUCUGCCACUCUGCCGAAGACCCUCUCUGCCGCCUCUUCUCCCCCAGCGCCCUUCUGGGCCCAGGGAGGGGGGUCUUUUCUGGGCUGGAUGCGUGUGUCCGUCCGGCUGCUGCUCUCCUCCUUCCUUUGCACUCCUUUUGCAAUUCCUCUCUUGUAACUCUGAGCUUUUCUCCAACUAUCUGGCUGCUGGUGAGGGUCUCUCCUCAAGGAGACGAAACCUACCAGGACAUCUUCCGGGACUUCUCCCAAAUGGCUUCCAACAACCCGGAGAAGCUGAAUCGCUUUCACCCGGCUGAGGC